AGCUCACAGUCGACUACACGACGUUUUUCAGUUUUCGCUAAUUACGUACGCGACUUGAUUAUAGUCUGAAGGCGUCAGGCGCACACGUGACCAAUACGACUUCGGUUUUAUGAAUCUUGCUGUGAGGAAGUCUAACGUUACACGCUGGAAACAGUGGCCAAAAGACAAGAAACUGCUGAAGGUUUCAGAGACCCGACUGUGAUUUAUUUCUCAUUAGAGUGAUAUUAAAGUCACGUGGUAAAAUCUUGAACGUUUGACUGUUUUAUCAUUUGAGGUAACAAUGUAUCAGUGCCUCUCUGUGGUACUGUGUCUCACAAUAUGUGCUAUACCUCGACUUUCAGCAUACUGUAACAUCAACUAAAGAAGGAAAGGCACGUGUCACGAAAAAUCCGUGUCAACGAAUGACAACCGAGGACGUUAUAAAGUCAGUUUCUCGACAGCUGAAGCAUUACGUGCAGGUCCAGAGACGAGAGGAAGGGUUCGAGAGUAGAGUGACAUGGGAAAAAGAUCUGCCACCUAUCAAAACGGGGAUACAAGACCGACUAACUUCGUUCAAACUUCACGAAAGAAGUGUCCAACACUUGCUUGGACAUGGGCAUGCGCAGACAUUGCUGGGAUAUCUCGACCAGAAAGCUGUUCUUUCGCCACGAGAACAACAGAUCAAAAGGGCUUUGGUCCACUAUCUGUCAGAGAAAGAAGCAUGGGCCUACCCUCGCCACGGGACAUCAAAAACCUCCGAUUUCUACCCCCCUCACCGAAGUUCUGUCGUCCGCCUACAGCAACGAGGAUUUCAGCCAGUGUCCAGGAGUCAAGAACGAGUAGGUAGUGUGCCACGAGGAGAGGCAGAACGCCUGGUAACUAUGGCAACCAAACUUCUUGUCGCUACGGAGUGUAUCCUGAAUAAGGAAGGUGUGAACGACAGGACUGAGAUUGCUGAAAGUUUGCCUCAUCUAGAAGAGAAAUCACGACUCCAAUCUUUUACUUCCAAGGAAAUGCCAGCGGAUAAAGGUGGAGACGGUAUGCGAUAUUCUCCACUAGAUGGCACUCAGAGCAGAGCUGUAAGCAGACUAAGCUUCAGAACGUGGCCAGGAAGUCGCAGUACGAACUGUCCAGCUUUACCACUCACUAAAGCGUCAUCUGGAGGCAGUAAAAAGCGUCUACCACGAAUUAAAACAGCGCCACCAAUCAGAAACCGGAGAAAAGCGAAGUUCCUUCGUUAUCGACCUCACACUGUAAAGGAUACGUGCGUACAAACAGAAAUAGAGAUAGCAGACUUUGAAAACGCUAUACAUACUUUUGUCGACGGAAGCGGCUCCAAGCGACGGAACUCGGAGUCAUAUGACAAGAUCUCGUGCUCUUCUUCCGAAUGCAGUUAUGACUCGACAAAUUUUGAAACUUCAUUCACCAAAGGGAACAAUAGGAAAACUGAACGAAGAUUAUCCGCACAUUCUGAUAAAGAAUCCAGAAUCUUCUCUAGAGCGCCACCUGGUGACGUUAUUAGAAAACACAACGAAGUUGGGAGAAAAAGCAAAUCCUUGACAAAACUCAAUAGGAAAGAGCUUCAUUCCGAAAUGACAAACAAAGAAAGAGUUGAUGAUCGUCUUAAACAUGAAAGUGGAUUUUGGAAUGGCGAUGGCGCUUCGCUAUUAGACCAUCAAUCGUCUAACAGUCCAGUUAAAACAAAAGACGAUACCGCAAAGAAACAAAAUAAACUGAAAAAGAAAAAGCAUAUUACUUGCAAUCUGGAAACACUGUGUUUAGAAAAUGAGUUGAAACAAAAAAAUACUUUUAACAGUAUUUCAGAGCAUGAAUUAACUGCACGUGAACCAGAGUUAGCCCUAACUAGCCCCGAACUUGAGAAAACAACCUGUAAAAUAAUUUCUCCCACAGAUAUUGCAUUUGGUGAACUUGCAAUUUACCCAAAUGUGAAUAAAGAGAGUGGCCAUACGCCAUCCUCUGAACAAUGUGAAAAUGGUACCAUUUCCAAGAACAACAUUGCCAAUGAAAAUGCAUCUGAAUCUCACAAAGAAGACAAGGUAAAUGGAAGAUUGACCACGACGUCGUCUCCAUCUGCUUCGGACGAAGGAACAACGACAGAUGCCAAUGGAAAGUCAACCACAAUGUCAUCUCCAUCUGCUUUGGACCAAGGAACAACGACAGAUGCCAAUGGAAAGUCAACCACGAUGUUGUCUCCAUCUGCUUUGGACCAAGGAACAACGACAGAUGCCAAUGGAAAGUCAACCACGAUGUUGUCUCCAUCUGUUUUGGACCAAGGAACAAUGACAGAUGGCAAUGGAAAGUCAACCACGAUGUCGUCUCUAUCUGCUUCAGACCAAGGAACAACGACAGAUACCAAUGGAAAGUCGACCACGAUGUCAUCUCCAUCUGCUUUGGACCAAGGAACAACGACAGAGGCUAAUGAUUCAUCAACAACAUGUAGUUGUACAGGAUGCAAUGAAACAAGCUCUUUGACUUGCACGUGCACAGAGAGUGCUGCUAGUAGUGUUAGCGAUGCAACUAACUCAGAAGCAAUAUCUUGCAGUAGUUGUGAUUCUUACUGUAGCUGUUGCUCAUCGACUACAGAGGAUGAAUCCACAACAGAGGAAUGUGAAGACGAAGAAUGCAUGCAGUGUCUUCAAGAAAACCCCAACCGGGCACUGACACCGGAAGUGGUGGUCGUGAGUCAUCAGGACGAUUCUACAGAGCCAAUUACCGACACAGACGCUGGAAAUGAGGUUUCACAGCAAGACGAAGAUUUUCAGACAGAGGAUAUUAUAGCACAAGAAGAACCAGAAAGAUCAUCAGAUAGUUUAUCCGAGGAACCAGAAAGAACAUCUAUCAGUUUAUCCAAAGUUUCGGUUCCUCAUAUUAACAAGCAAGGGAAUGCAAAUCCCAGUGACCAGGUUCAACAAAUCCUCUUCUGGACAUCGGUGCGGUAUUUGAUCAGCUCACCCAAGAAGAGUUUGUGUCGACUUUAAGCAUACACGAAGCGGCCAGAAACGGAGAUCUGCAUGCUGUGAGACUCCUGCUUCGAAACGACUGGAAACGCAUGGAGACUGUCGACGAGAGAGGUUGGACACCUAUUCACCUAGCUGCAGCCAAUGGUCAUGUCGAGAUUGUGAAA
RNAcentral lists this unclassified non-coding RNA (3124 nucleotides) under Limulus polyphemus (Atlantic horseshoe crab). RNAcentral's name for it is "uncharacterized LOC106474166, transcript variant X2". Lineage: Eukaryota; Metazoa; Arthropoda; Merostomata; Xiphosura; Limulidae. The record is from RNAcentral.